RNA transcript from Ziziphus jujuba (common jujube), 812 nucleotides. RefSeq lists it as uncharacterized. NCBI's taxonomy places the organism in Eukaryota, Viridiplantae, Streptophyta, Magnoliopsida, Rosales, Rhamnaceae. The transcript has 4 exons. The record is from RefSeq and is a predicted model, not a curated record.
AAACUCCACCGCUCAAUCACUGUAGCCUUAAACCCUCACAAAGCCCUCGCCCGCCACACACACUUUGGCUUCACCACCGCAACGAAAAUGGCUUGGCGCUCAGCUGGAUCGCUGUCUCGUUCGCUCGUCUCCACUGCUAGGGUUUCUUUGCUUCGCUCGCCGCCUCCUCUUCCCCGCCUCCGUCCGCCGGCGCCCAAUAUGGCUGCUCCUCGUCUCCAAUCUCGCCGUCUCUCCUUUGCUGCUCCCAGGAACUUGGGAGAGUUGGGAUGCAUACAGUCUCUUCUGCCAGUGUGUAGAGUAAUGGCUUCAACAUCUCACUUGGCUGUCAACUUGCGGGCUUGUUGCGAGUUGUCUCAUGGUACCUUCCGCCGUACUUGUCAGGAUCGCUAGUAGUUUCUUUGGAGGAAUGGAAAAGACGGGUGAUGCGCAAGGGCUUCCAAUCAUCAAAAGGCAGGAGAAUGAUGCUUCAUUGUUCCUAAGCAGACUAGUAUCGGCAUAAUUAAGAGCGACAAAAUUUGGAGGAGAUUUUAUUCUGUAGGAUCUUUUGUUUUUUGAACUAAGAAUUGCAAUAAGAGCGUGCCAUUAUUCUAAGAAUAUUUUUCAAGAACCUUCGGAAUUCCAACUUCUGGAAUGACUUUUCAGAAUGAAGGAUUCACAGGCAUCUUUCACUUCAAAGUUGUACUUGCCUCUUUUUUUAAUUGGUAAUUAGAUUGUUAUUGUGCUGCACUUGUGCUGUCAAUGAUUAGUCAAUAUCAAUUCUCACUCUUGAUAGCUUUGAUACAUAAUGUGCUAGUGCUAAUAUUCCUUUUCAA